UACGUAGGGUGCAAGCGUUGUCCGGAAUUAUUGGGCGUAAAGAGCUCGUAGGCGGUGAGUAGCGUCGGCCUUGAAAACCUGCAGCUUAACUGUGGGCUUGCGGUCGAUACGGGCAUCACUGGAGUUCGGCAGGGGAGACUGGAAUUCCUGGUGUAGCGGUGAAAUGCGCAGAUAUCAGGAGGAACACCGGUGGCGAAGGCGGGUCUCUGGGCCGAUACUGACGCUGAGGAGCGAAAGCGUGGGGAGCAAACAGG
This 254-nucleotide ribosomal RNA is filed under the name uncultured bacterium. Its description in RNAcentral is "partial 16S ribosomal RNA". It matches the Rfam family "Bacterial small subunit ribosomal RNA", at positions 524 to 776 of the family's 1533-position model. The record is from RNAcentral.